Long non-coding RNA from Oncorhynchus tshawytscha (Chinook salmon), 1568 nucleotides. RefSeq lists it as uncharacterized. The transcript is spliced from 3 exons. The record is from RefSeq and is a predicted model, not a curated record. Lineage: Eukaryota; Metazoa; Chordata; Actinopteri; Salmoniformes; Salmonidae.
UAAAAAAUAAAAAAACAAGAAAGAUGGUGAAAACAAAGCGUCCCAAAACUUCAUCCUUGCCAACAUCAUCUUAAGCAAAGUGGAAGCAGCAUCUCCAAUGCUUACCCCGUUGCCAAUCCUAAGAAGCAGUCUGGAGAGACAUCUAGUGGCUAAUCUCAGUAACCAAACCCCAGAGUUUUACUUCUUAGUCCUUUUGCUGUUUUGGCCUGAGGAGCAGAAGAAAAUGGAUUUCAAUAUUGACCUCAACAAAUGUGUUCUGGAGAUGCAAGAGUCCUACAAAAACACAUACAAAAAGCAUCUUCGCUCAAGGUACCUUCUCCCCCUUAUUUUCCUGGGUAAGGGUGAGGGAUUGAGUAGACUGGUUCAUAGAGCAAAAAUAGACAACCUAUUGAUAGAAGAGAAUCCAAUGGCAAGGCCAGAGGCAAGGCCAGACACUAUAGAUCAAAAGUGGAGCAGUGGUGAAGUGUGGAGAGAACCCAGUGUCCAGGACCUUCUUCUUCCAGUCAAUGGAGUGGUUAGACAGCACCGGGUGUUUGCGCGCGUUGAUGGCAAGGAGAUUAACGUUUGUGCCGGCCAACAAAGCAAAGUUUGGAAGUCUGGAGACGUCUGCUUCUACCUUGGCUUCACCAUUAGAGGUCCUGUGGCCUACGACAUCAUCUACCCAUCCUAUUCAGGGCCUGUGAGAAGUUGAACAACGUACUUAAUGUGAUGACCUCAGGCCAGCACUUUGAGGACUUCACCGGACAGAACUGAUCUAGAGAGUGAACCAGGUGAAGCCCAUCUUGGAUAAACUCAUCACUGACAAGAGCUAAAGUUCAGUACUGGCUGAACGCACCACACAGGACCAGAUGGGGGAGCUCUCCACAGGACUGAGGGCAAGUGGCAUCAGAGCAAAAUAUAUUUUCUAUGAAAUCCUGAAGGAGCUGGAGCCACUGCUAGUCAAAGACCUGAAGGGUGAAUGAGGAGCUGGAAUGGUGAAUUGGGGACAUUUAAAGUUUGUUUUAGGGGAAAAGGGCAUAAAUGACGGCAGUUCCGCUUUGUUUUACUACUUUGUGUUUACAAUAAAACACAACCUAAGAGAGGUAUAGCCUCAUUCUUUUAUCAUUCUUAUUUUUCUACAUGUAAAUAUUAGUAGCCAGCAGAACAGCAACCAGCAACCUAGUGUUUUAGCCUUCAGGCUUUGCCAAAGAUAUAACAUUUUGAGCGAGCUUGGGGGUCUUGUAAAAGUUGGGUUGGAAGAUAAAUGCUCAACCAUCUCACCUAGAUACUCUGGAUCAUUUACAGACAAGAAAAUAUAUAAAGAAAAUAUGUAAUGAAAAUACAAAAGUAUACUGUGUAAAGAAUCGAUGAUAAAAAGAACAAUUCAAUUAUUUUGGCUACUAAAUGAUUGAGAAGUCAGUGAGGGUAAGGAAUACCAGCGAUCUAAAUACAUGUAUGAUAUGACUUUGUAAAGCUUUAUGUACAAGCCUAAUACAACUUUUUAAACAGUAAUGAUAUGUGCGAAUUUUUGUGACAUUUUCACAACACAGGUUUUAGAAUAUGUAUUGAAAUAAAUACCUACGUACAGA